Molecule: ribosomal RNA, 419 nt
Filed under: bacterium
Lineage: Bacteria
Description: partial 16S ribosomal RNA
Rfam family: Bacterial small subunit ribosomal RNA
Source: RNAcentral
UGGGGGAUAUUGCACAAUGGGCGAAAGCCUGAUGCAGCGACGCCGCGUGGGGGAUGAAGGCCUUCGGGUUGUAAACUUCGUUUGCUCUGAACAAGGCGCACCAUGGGGUGUGUUGAGUGUAGGGGUUGAUUAGCGCCGGCUAACUACGUGCCAGCAGCCGCGGUAAUACGUAGGGCGCGAGCGUUGUCCGGAAUUAUUGGGCGUAAAGGGCUUGUAGGUGGCUGGUUGCGUCUGUCGUGAAAGCUCAUGGCUUAACUGUGGGUUUGCGGUGGGUACGGGCUGGCUUGAGUGCAGUAGGGGAGGCUGGAAUUCCUGGUGUAGCGGUGGAAUGCGCAGAUAUCAGGAGGAAUACCGGUGGCGAAGGCGGGUCUCUGGGCUGUUACUGACACUGAGGAGCGAAAGCAUGGGGAGCGAACAGG